Molecule: ribosomal RNA, 484 nt
Filed under: uncultured bacterium
Lineage: Bacteria
Description: partial 16S ribosomal RNA
Rfam family: Bacterial small subunit ribosomal RNA
Source: RNAcentral
AUUGAACGUUGGCGGCAUGCUUUACACAUGCAAGUCGAACGGCAGCGCGGGCUUCGGCCUGGCGGCGAGUGGCGAACGGGUGAGUAAUGCAUCGGAACGUGCCCAGUAGUGGGGGAUAGCCCGGCGAAAGCCGGAUUAAUACCGCAUACGACCUGAGGGUGAAAGCGGGGGACCGAAAGGCCUCGCGCUAUUGGAGCGGCCGAUGUCGGAUUAGCUAGUUGGUGGGGUAAAGGCUUACCAAGGCGACGAUCCGUAGCUGGUCUGAGAGGACGACCAGCCACACUGGGACUGAGACACGGCCCAGACUCCUACGGGAGGCAGCAGUGGGGAAUUUUGGACAAUGGGGGCAACCCUGAUCCAGCCAUGCCGCGUGCGGGAAGAAGGCCUUCGGGUUGUAAACCGCUUUUGUUCGGGAAGAAAUCCUCUGGGCUAAUACCCCGGGGGGAUGACGGUACCGGAAGAAUAAGCACCGGCUAACUACGUG